Molecule: ribosomal RNA, 301 nt
Filed under: uncultured bacterium
Lineage: Bacteria
Description: partial 16S ribosomal RNA
Rfam family: Bacterial small subunit ribosomal RNA
Source: RNAcentral
CAGUAGCCGCGGGAAUACGUAGGUGGCAAGCGUUGUCCGGAAUUAUUGGGCGUAAAGGGCUCGCAGGCGGUUUCUUAAGUCUGAUGUGAGAGCCCCCGGCUCAACCGGGGAGGGUCAUUGGAAACUGGGAAACUUGAGUGCAGAAGAGGAGAGUGGAAUUCCACGUGUAGCGGUGAAAUGCGUAGAGAUGUGGAGGAACACCAGUGGCGAAGGCGACUCUCUGGUCUGUAACUGACGCUGAGGAGCGAAAGCGUGGGGAGCGAACAGGAUUAGAUACCCCAGUAGUCCCUGUCUCUUAUAC